GAUGAACGCUGGCUACAGGCUUAACACAUGCAAGUCGUGGGGAAACGGCAUUAUGUGCUUGCACAUUCUGGACGUCAACCGGCGCACGGGUGAGUAUCGCGUAUCCAACCUGCCCCUUACUUGGGGAUACCCCGUUGAAAGACGGCCUAAUACCCGAUGUGUUUCAUUGACGGCAUCCGAUAUGAAACAAAGGUUUUCCGGUAAGGGAUGGGGAUGCGUCUGAUUAGUUAGUUGGCGGGGCAACGGCCCACCAAGGCGACGAUCAGUAGGGGUUCUGAGAGGAAGGUCCCCCACAUUGGAACUGAGACACGGUCCAAACUCCUACGGGAGGCAGCAGUGAGGAAUAUUGGUCAAUGGACGCAAGUCUGAACCAGCCAAGUAGCGUGCAGGAUGGCGGCCCUAUGGGUUGUAAACUGCUUUUAUGUGGGAAUAAAUUGGCGCACGUGUGCGCCAUUGCAUGUACCUCAUGAAUAAGGACCGGCUAAUUCCGUGCCAGCAGCCGCGGUAAUACGGAAGGUCCGGGCGUUAUCCGGAUUUAUUGGGUUUAAAGGGAGCGUAGGCAGUUUUUUAAGCGUGCUGUGAAAUGUACCGGCUCAACCGGUGAUGUGCAGCGCGAACUGGGAAUCUUGAGUACGCAGUAAGCAGGCGGAAUUCGUGGUGUAGCGGUGAAAUGCUUAGAUAUCACGAAGAACUCCGAUUGCGUAGGCAGCUUGCUGUAGCGUAACUGACGCUGAAGCUCGAAAGUGCGGGUAUCGAACAGG
Molecule: ribosomal RNA, 761 nt
Filed under: uncultured Prevotella sp.
Lineage: Bacteria; Pseudomonadati; Bacteroidota; Bacteroidia; Bacteroidales; Prevotellaceae
Description: bacterial SSU rRNA
Rfam family: Bacterial small subunit ribosomal RNA
Source: RNAcentral